GACGAACGCUGGCGGCGUGCUUAACACAUGCAAGUCGAACGGAAAGGCCCUGCUUUUGUGGGGUGCUCGAGUGGCGAACGGGUGAGUAACACGUGAGUAACCUGCCCUUGACUGUGUGAGAACUUCAGGGAACUGGGGCGAAUACCGGAUAGGAGCUCCUGCUGCAUGUGGGGGGUUGGAAAGUUUCGGCGGUUGGGGAUGGACUCGCUGGUUAUCCGCUUGUUGGUGGGGUAGUGGCUUACCACGGCUUUGAAGGGUAGCCGGCCUGAGAGGGUUACCGGCCUCAUUGGGCCUGAGAUACGGCGCAGACGCCUACGGGCGGCAGCAGUGGGGAAUAUUGCACAAUGGGCGGAAGCCUGAUACAGAGACGCCGCGUGCGGGAUGACGGCCUUCGGGUUGUAAACCGCUUUCGAAUGUGACGAAGCGUGCGUGACGGUAAUGGGUCAAGAAGCACCGGCUAACUACGUG
RNAcentral lists this ribosomal RNA (468 nucleotides) under uncultured bacterium. RNAcentral's name for it is "partial 16S ribosomal RNA". It matches the Rfam family "Bacterial small subunit ribosomal RNA", at positions 28 to 507 of the family's 1533-position model. The record is from RNAcentral.